UGGGGAAUAUUGCACAAUGGGCGCAAGCCUGAUGCAGCCAUGCCGCGUGUGUGAAGAAGGCCUUCGGGUUGUAAAGCACUUUCAGCGAGGAGGAAGGGUAGUGUGUUAAUAGCACAUUGCAUUGACGUUACUCGCAGAAGAAGCACCGGCUAACUCCGUGCCAGCAGCCGCGGUAAUACGGAGGGGGCAAGCGUUAAUCGGAAUUACUGGGCGUAAAGCGCACGCAUGCGGUUUGUUAAGUCAGAUGUGAAAUCCCCGCGCUUAACGUGGGAACUGCAUUUGAAACUGGCAAGCUAGAGUCUUGUAGAGGGGGGUAGAAUUCCAGGUGUAGCGGUGAAAUGCGUAGAGAUCUGGAGGAAUACCGGUGGCGAAGGCGGCCCCCUGGACAAAGACUGACGCUCAGGUGCGAAAGCGUGGGGAGCAAACA
This 427-nucleotide ribosomal RNA is filed under the name uncultured bacterium. RNAcentral describes it as "partial 16S ribosomal RNA". It matches the Rfam family "Bacterial small subunit ribosomal RNA", at positions 355 to 774 of the family's 1533-position model. The record is from RNAcentral.